AGCCAAAAAUAUAACAAUAAUUAGUAAAAUAGGACAGGAGACAGCCCUAUCAAGGAUCACACUGCCUACCAGCAGUGGCUGAAACAAAACUAAAUUCUGAACUGGAAUUAUUUCAGAUUAGGAGAUGUACAGUUCAACAAGGGCCAAAUAGGAUAUAAGGCAGUUAAAACCCAAUGCCUGGAGACUGUCUGAAUGAGGAGAAAGAUUCAGAUUCAUCUCAAGCAAGAUGGAAAGACUGCUGAUUCAAAAGUCUUCAAGGGAUUAUCAAUAUUGAUUUUUGAUGGGGUUAUACUUUUCAGGGAGAGCAUGCUUGAAAGCUGGGGAUCCGUUGGGACAGAUUCCUCCUUAAAGACAAUCCUUUGUUUUGUGCUUUUGUCACUUCUUACAUUGAUUACAGUGAAUUAUUUUCUAUGGAGUUCCACCUGGGACUACCCAAAAAAUACAGCUAGUAUAAAAUCCCAAAAGCUGGAGGACAAUGGUGGGUAUUCUCCACGGAGGCUCUCCUCCGCUAGAACAACAUACCUCAUGAGGCAAAGGUAGCUCCAUGGUCUUGCAGAAACCUAUCAAGAUCUGGUCUUUAAAACACAGCUUUGGGACUGAUUACUCAAGGCAUGUAUGUCAGAGUGUUUUUAUAACUGUUUUAAUUUAUAAAUUAAAUUUUAAUUUUUGCUUUAGUUUAUUGUAUUACUGUUUUAUUAUAAUUUGGAUGUGUACUUUGUCUAGAGGUUAUCAAAUCUGAGGCACUGGAUAAAUUUCAUAAAUAAAAAUAAAAUUCUUCUAGUCUUCCAUCUACAGUCAAGUACUGGCUUAAUUUUUUAAUGUUUGGCAUAUCCUCUAAAACCAACUCAUCUCACAAUUCAUUAGCUACUCUCUUUUUAAAUUAGUCAAAUAAAGCCAGUUCAUUACACUCCAUUCCAAGCAAAAACAUUGGAAAUCAACAAUAAAUGUCCAUACUUUGUAAGUGUAAUUUCAUCAGUAGAUAUUGUCAUUCUGGCAGAGUCACCAAAGGCAGAUGAACCUUUAAGUAAAACAUUGAUAUAACUAUCCAGAACAGGAUUAUUUUCUAGAUUUAGAAUGGCCAUUUGGAAGCUUUGUCAAAAGUCAAAGGAUAAAUCUCAUCCAAGAAUGAUCUGG
Pseudonaja textilis is the source of this 1134-nucleotide non-coding RNA. Lineage: Eukaryota; Metazoa; Chordata; Lepidosauria; Squamata; Elapidae. The record is from RefSeq and is a predicted model, not a curated record.